UUUUCCUAUCAGGAUGAAUACCAGGAAGAUCAUCAAGAAAAACCUUAGAAAAUUCAUUAACCACGAGAAUGGAUUGCAAUAAAGGACCUUCCAAUUUAGAAUCUUUAACCCCAACCAAAUGAUAAAGACACCCUUUUGAAAUUAGCUUCCGGUCUCUAAGAUAAGAAAUAAACCUUCUCGUAGGCACUAGGGAACUCCUUUCCCAUUCUAUAACUGACUUAUUAGAAA
RNAcentral lists this long non-coding RNA (228 nucleotides) under Capsicum annuum. RNAcentral's name for it is "long non-coding RNA (CANN_LNC002596)". The record is from RNAcentral. Lineage: Eukaryota; Viridiplantae; Streptophyta; Magnoliopsida; Solanales; Solanaceae.